CCCUCUUUAGUGGAAGCACAGAGUCUUAACUGCUGGACCACUAAGGAAUUCCCUAAAAUUUUGUUAUUUUAAUUCUCAGCUCUUUUUGUUCUCUGUUCAGUCUUUAAUUAAGGUACCUUUUCAAGGACAUAGUUGAGUUCAGCACCAUCAAUCAACUGGAUUUAAUUGACAUCUACAGACUACUUCAGCAACACUAAAAUACACAUUUUUUUGGAGCUCACAUAGAACAUUCACCAAGACAGAUCAUAUUCUGUACCAUAAAAAACACUUUAACAGAUUUAAUAGAAAUCAUGAUGUGUCUGCUCUCACACCAAAAUGUAAAUCAGUAACAGAAAAAUAAUUGGAAACUUUCAAAAUACUUGGAGAUUAAAGAGUAGUCUUGUAAAUAAUACAUGGGUCAAAGAAGAAAUCUCAAAUUUUAAAAUAUUUUGGACUAAAUUAAAACGAAAACAACUUAUCAAAAUUUGUGGGUGCAGUGAAAGCAUUGCUUAGAAGGAAGUUUAUAGCACUGAAUGGAUAUAUUACAAAAGAAAAAAGACCUAAAAUCAAUAAUCUACAUUUUCACCAUGGGAAACUAGGAAAAGAAGAGCAAAAGUAAAUCCAAAAUAAAAGAAAAAGAGCAGAAAUCAAUGAGAUCAAAAAUAGGAAAUCAACAGAGAAAAAUCAAUGAAAACCAAAAGCUGGUUCUUUAAAAUCUUAAUAGAAUCAACAAGAGAAACUGCCUAUUUCCAAGUCUAGUACUGGGUAGAAGAAGGGGGGAAAAAAAAUCUCUCCUGAUAAUUUUUAACCACAUGCCUGCCUGAAUAAGUGUGCAACCUGAAUUGACAAUACCUGGGUGAUCCAAAACACCCCUAGUUGAGAAUUUAAAGUGCCGGGUUGGUUUGUCAUCAGGCAACUGAUAAACAUAUUUCCUCUGUGGAGGAAUUUACUUUUAACUCAAUCUUAAAAAAUCCCCAUUGAUAAAAUUCUAAAAAGUAUGAAGUCACAGUCAAAACUCAUGAAUUGCAAGAAAAUAUGGCAUUGUGAGCAAGAGCAAACGAUAAACCUGCAUAAUCGGGCCUCAAAAACUUAAGGUACUGGAAUUACCAAAUAAUAUAUAAUAUGUGUUUUCAAUAUAUUUAAAGAAAAAGGAAACUUAAAAUGUAAGACAGCAAGAGUAUAUAAAAUAAGCAAGUCUGAAAAGGAACGAAACAAUUUCUAGAAAUGAUAAAACAUUUGACAUGUAAAACUCAACAGAUAAGUGGGUACAACCACUAAAAACAGAAACAAAAAAAACUUUAAUAUGUUGGUUUAGCAGCUGAAGAAAGACUUAACUGGGAGAUAGAUGUGUAGAAAUUAUCCAGAAUGCCAGAAACAGAGAAAAUAUGAGCUAUAUAAGAGACAAGGAGGAUGGAGUAGGAAGGUCUAAUCAGAGUUCCAGUGGGGACAGAGAAAGAUGACUGAGAAUUGAAGAUAAGACAGUUUUCUAGAACAGGUGAAAGACAUCAAUUCAUAGAAUCAGGAAGCCUCAGGAAUCCCAUUAAGAUAAGUACAAAGAAAACCACACUGGGACACAUCACAGUAAAGCUGCAGAAUACCAAAGGUAGAUAAACCUUUAAAAUGGUUGGAGACAAAAAGUAUCUUCAAAGGAACAGUAAAGACAACAGCAACAAAGUGGAGACCAUAAAGACAGAAGUUUUCAAUAUACUGACAGGAAAUAACUAUUAGCCUGGAAUUCUACAUCCAGCAAAAAAUAACUUUAAAUAAAAAAUUAAAAAACUAGAAAAGACAGGUGAUGGCACAAAAUAAAGGGGUAGAAAUUUAUCCAAUAACUUAAUUAAAAUAGAAAAAGUGACUACAAAUAGAAAACAUUUAAAAAUCCAUAUUCAGGCCAUUCUUAGGAGGCAGAGAAUGAAAGUAAAAGGAUUAAAAACUCAGCAUAUUUGGAAUAGAAGGGAAAUUUCUCAGCCUAAUAAAAGACUUUUUUUUUUCUCUUUUUUACAAAAACCAGCAAAUAUAUUUUAUGGUGAAAUAUUGAAAUUAUUCCCUAUAAUGUCAGAAACAAGUCAAGGGUGCCCACACUUUCUUCCACCCAUACAGAGAGGCAAGAAAAAUAAAAGAUAUAAAAAGUAAAAUGGAAGAUUUUUUUUAAUCAUAGAGAUGAUAAUACAUACAGAAAACUCAGAAUUUUCAAGUAAAUCAUAAAUUUUAGGUUUCUUGGACAUAAAAAAUUAUUUUCAUAAGCCAUGAAUAACAGCAGCACAACAUCAAGUACUUAAGUUUAACCAAUUUAUCAGAAAAAGUAACUUUAUUGAAAACAUAAUGAAGAGAUACACCAUGUUCACAACUGGAAACUUCAAUCUCAUGUUGAUGUUGAUUUUCCCCAAACUGAUAAUACAGAUUCAGUUGGGUUCAAUCACAGUUUCAAAGGGGGUUUUAUUGAUAGAACGUAACAAGCUGAUUCUAAAAUGGAUAUGGAAGAGCAAGAGCCAAGCAUAGAUCUUAGGGGAACACACACAGGUAGAUAAAAUGAUCAGUGGGACAAAAGAGAAAAAUAAAUUGUAUAUUCGAUGGAUUACUAUACAGCAAGCAAAAGGAAUGCCUUACAGCUACACAUAUUAAUUUGGGUAAAUCUCAGAAACAUGGUAUUAAAAGAAAAAGCAAAUUGCAGUAAAAUAAACAUGGUGUAGCUUCAUUUAUAUAAAAGUCAGAAACAUGCAAAACAUCUAUAAUAAAUCACAGAGCAAGCAAGGGAAUGAUUCAGACAGCAGUGUUUCUUUCCUCUACCAGGGAGAGGUAUAGCAGGGACUAGAAAGGAAAGGGUAUCCACGUGCACUGGAAGCGCGGAGUCUUAACCGCUGGACUGCCAGGGAAGUCUAGGUAUCCAUUUCUGAAGUGGGGGUGGGGAGGGUGUUCUUUAAAUAUUUCCUUGCAUCUCUUCACUGUUUAAUUCAAAACCAAACAAAACAAGAAAAGAUUCUAGAGGAUGGGGGUAAAGCAGAGAAGGAAACGGGAAGUCUGCCAGAGCUUACGUACAAAGAGACAGCUACAGCAAGUUCCUAAUAUACAGUUAAGUAGUAAUAGUGCAUGCUGUUUAAAAAAGCAAAGUCCUAGCAGCUCAAACCUUCACGGGCGUGGGCAGAGCCUUGGGCUUCUCUGAGGGUUCUUGGAAGGCAACCUGCCAUGUCAUUGGAGGGCUACCCCCUGCCUCAGCAGCAUUUGUAGGUUUUAACUCAACCCCACUUUUGGUCCAGCCCCUCACCCCCACCCUCCCCAGUUCCCCCAAGACACAAAAGCCCACACCUCCACCGCAGUGGGGUAGCUGCUUGGCUGCAAGGGGUCAGCUGGGUCCUGGGGGGAGGGACAGUCUAGCUGCUCCUCACAGAGACCUUAAAUCAGUCCCUCUUGUCAGCCCCAAACCUCGCCUUCCAUGGUGCUGGUGGAACUCCAGAGCCUCUGCACGGCUUGGGGUCAGGGGUUGGGGGUUUGGUGGCCUCUUGGCCCCUCCUUCGGGGAACACUUAAUUGCAGCGUCUGGUUCUCUAGGAGAGUAAAUGAGCCUCUAUCCAUUUUUCAUCUCUCAAGAUGCUGUCAGGUUCUUUGGUCUACUGCUGUCUCCCUAUUUUCUCUUUGUAAAUUUAUAUCAUUUUUCAUUUCUUUACUAUCAUUUCAGACUUUAAGAGGAAACAAGUAAACUCACAUGGCUAAACUUGCCACAUGUAA
Odocoileus virginianus texanus is the source of this 3701-nucleotide non-coding RNA. NCBI's taxonomy places the organism in Eukaryota, Metazoa, Chordata, Mammalia, Artiodactyla, Cervidae. The record is from RefSeq and is a predicted model, not a curated record.